UUUUUAUUCAAUUAAAGAUUGUCAACUUCCCCUUGAUAGGGCCAACGUGUGGUUAGGAAGAAAAAAAACUAGGUUCACUGUUGACGCAUUAACGUGAGAGGUUGGCUUUCAGUGCGAAGCUUAGGGGGGGAGGUAAACAAGAUGGCGUCAACCUGAGUGGCAGCUCCAGAAUAGCAGACUUCUAAUAUCAGUACCGAGCUAGUUACAAAUACACUGCACAAAAAUAUACGAUAAUGAAAAGGACUUUUACACAUUUCGAAGACUCCGGACGUCUGGGUGGCUAGAUGGUGAGGAACAGAAGGCGGAUGACAAACUAGGAGAAUGACUAACGAUUGGUCACUCUAGUCAACUCAGAAGAACUUCAGGAUCUCAAGAACUCUUUAAAAAAAGAAAAUAAAAAAAAGAUUUGCUUUGCUUGAAUCUGGACUAAAGAUCCAGCCGGGCCGUUGGCACCAAGCUGUGCCCCUGAAGUCGACUAUGCACUGCGGAUAGGACCUUCGACAGAAAUGCUGUGCUGGGUUCAGAAACAGGACUGGUCUUCUCUACCUCGGCCAGACACAGUCUCCUCCAAUCAGAUCACAGAUGGAGGUGACAUGGAUAUAAGUGGAGACGUGUAAUCUCUAGGCAACAGUCCCCCAUCCUCUCCUCUGGCCCUGUCCUGUCAGCAGUACAGAGAGAGAGAGAGAGAGGAGAGCUAGGCUAUUGACUUGCACUGACAGGUCCUGGCUGGCGAGAGAUCUGUGGAAGACCUACUGUGAGUCCACCUCAUGUUUACAAGCGACCAGAAGUCCCCUAUACCGUGUGUGUGUUAACACUAAACUUUGGUUAUACCCUUUCUGAUGCCCCUUGGGGCUUUUCUCUUGAACCGCCUUGUCCCGUUUGCAUCAAAGUACAAGAUUAAGUCCCAGCUCAGAUAAGAGGCAUCGCUUAGACUUGCGCCAGCUGUUCUGAGAUAACUGGCCUAACCCAGCCCCCCCCACACCACACACCUUCUCCUCAACUCUGCCCUGAAGGAAGUGCAGGCCAGGCCGAGUCACCCCCAGCUAGUCACCCUCAGCCAGUCACCCCAAGCUAGUCACCCCCCACCUAUAGUCCCUCCCCUCCCGGUCUCACCCCCACCUCCCAGUCCUCACCCCCUCCCAGUCCUCCCCACCUGAGCACCAUGAGCAUGGGGGAGCACCUGGACUACCUGACGGAGAACGAACUGAUGGGGAUGGACACGUUCAUCCACCGCAUCGACUCCACGGAGGUGAUCUAUCAGCCCCGCAGGAAGAGGGCCAAGCUGAUCGGGAAGUACCUGAUGGGGGACCUGCUGGGGGAGGGCUCCUACGGGAAGGUCAAGGAGAUGCUGGACUCAGAGACGCUCUGCCGUCGCGCCGUCAAGAUCCUGAAGAAGAAGAAGCUGAGGAGGAUCCCCAACGGAGAGGCUAACGUGAAGAAGGAGAUUCAGCUGCUAAGAAGACUCCAGCACAAAAAUGUCAUCCACCUUGUGGAUGUGCUGUAUAACGAGGAGAAGCAGAAAAUGUAUAUGGUGAUGGAGUAUUGCGUAUGUGGGAUGCAAGAAAUGCUGGACAGCGUCCCAGAGAAAAGGUUUCCAGUAUUUCAAGCUCAUGGGUACUUCUGCCAACUGUUAGAUGGUCUGGAAUAUUUGCACAGCCAGGGAAUCGUCCACAAAGACAUCAAACCUGGGAACCUUCUGCUCACCACGGAUGGAGCGCUCAAGAUCUCUGACCUGGGAGUGGCGGAGGCUCUGCAUCCGUUUGCGGAGGAUGAUACGUGCAGGACCAGCCAGGGCUCCCCAGCCUUCCAGCCCCCGGAGAUCGCCAACGGCCUGGACACCUUCUCAGGCUUCAAGGUGGACAUCUGGUCGGCCGGAGUGACGCUCUACAACAUCACAACGAGCCUGUACCCGUUCGAGGGGGACAACAUCUACAAGCUGUUCGAGAACAUCGGGAAGGGAGACUACAGCGUGCCGGAGGACUGUGGGCCCCUUCUGUCAGACCUGCUGAGAGGAAUGCUUGAAUACGACCCUGUCAAGAGGUUCUCCAUACAGCACAUCAGACAGCACAACUGGGUGCGUAAGAAACACCCCCCCUCGGAGCCCCCGGUGCCCAUCCCGGCGAGUGCGGAGGGGCGUGACGCGUGGCGCAGCAUGACGGUGGUGCCGUACCUGGAGGAUCUGCACGGCUACACCGAGGAGGACGACGAGGAUGGCCUGUACGACACGGAGGACGACAUCAUCUACACUCAGGACUUCACUGUGCCAGGUCAGGUAGGUGAGGAGGACCUGGUGGAGGUGGAGCGGAGCCGUGCGGCGGCCAGGCCAGUGUGUGUGAACGGUACUGAGGGCAGCUCGCCGCACGGCAAGCCCAAGACCGACCGCCGCUCUUCCUCCUCCUCCAACCCCUCACGCAAGGGAGUCUCCACCGCCAGCAAGAUCCGCAAGCUCUCCACCUGCAAGCAGCAAUGACCCCACCUCACCCCGCCUGGUGAGCAGGGGGAGGGGGACUUGUUGUUAACCUCCGUGUAUAUCCUCCCUUCCUUCUGUUUUGGAGUCUGUGUUGUGGUGAGAGACCCCUGCUGCCGUCAUGCCCACCUCUCCUGAACCACACGAACUCUAGAAGGAGGAAAGACUGGUGACAGAAAGAGAGGGAGGGCGAGGAGGAGGAGGAUAAGGAGGAAAGGAGUACCGUGUUUACUCUAAGACUGAAGCCACUGGGUGUGAAGAGACUGUCUGACCUCUGACUUCUCUCCCCUCCUUUUCCUUCCAAGCGUCAACGAGGAGUUGUGGGCUUGUGCUGCGCCGUCAACUUCCCUUUUCCCUCCUCUCCCCCUCCUCCCUUCCUAGUUCUUAGACUACCUUUAAUUUUACAGUUACCUAACUGCAGUUUUAAAAGACGCACAUUGUGAUGUGUAAAAAGAAUGAUGUUGAUAACGAUAAAGAAUAUGAAUAAUUCUAUAUUUAAACCGUGGUGAGGUUGGUGGUGAUGAAGCUUGAUGUAGGAACCUGCAUGCUGUACUGAGCUUGGAGUAAGGGAACUGAAGGUUGGACUGCCUUGACGUCCACCUCCUAUGAGUUGGGUUUUUCCUUAUCUUUUUUUCCGUUUUGUUUUUUUGUUUUUUUCCUUUCCAAUAAAUAUUUUUUAACUAUUAUUUAUAUAAAACACAUCCCAACCAAACCAU
This is an RNA transcript of Osmerus eperlanus (European smelt), 3183 nucleotides long. It is a transcript of the gene named serine/threonine kinase 11, with no coding region annotated. The transcript has 11 exons. Lineage: Eukaryota; Metazoa; Chordata; Actinopteri; Osmeriformes; Osmeridae. The record is from RefSeq and is a predicted model, not a curated record.